AGUUGUUUAUUAAGUUGUUCCUAGACUCUCCAGAAGAGUCAGGGCCUGAUUCUGAGGUCUGUAUGCAAGAACAAUAAUCCAGUGUCAUCACCCCACUAAAUUUUCUGUGUCUCUAAAGAUGGGAACUAUUCUAAAGAAUAGGAAUAGGGAACAUCCUAUUUAUAUAUUUUUGUUCCACACCAUCUCACACAGUGAUUUCCAUGUGACAAUAGGAAUAAUCUUAUGAAGGAAGGAAUAUAAGCCGUAUUUUAUAGGCAAGUUACUAGGCUUAAAAGGCUUAAGGAAUUUACUCAGCCCCGCUCAGUCAAUGGUAGAGCAGUGUGUGUUUGUUGAAAUAAAUAUAUGGGUAUAGUUAUUUAGAACUGGAAUGAAUGUAAACUUUUUUGUUUAGAUAAUAUAAACUUUGGGAGAUUAGACUCCUGGAGUCACAUGCUUCGUCAUUGACUUAUGGAGGAGGAAGUGCGUUUCUCUAGCCACCAGACAAAACUUCACUCUAAGCCAAAUUUGGAUAUUGCUCACUGUGAAUCGAGCACUGUAGCCAGGGGAAUGGCGUGCACCUAUUGGCUUGAGCCUCUGUUAAAUUCCUUUAUCUGAAUUAAUAAUGACAGGAGCAAAAGGAAACAGGAUUCUUCUGAUUGGUUUAGGCCAAUGUCAGUUUACCUGUGGAACCACCCAGCUUGGAGAAUAUACAUAGAAUGGAUGCUGGAGAAACAGUCACAAAGCUCAGCAGAGAUGGAUAUUUGGAGCUGCAAAAGCAGUGGCAGCAGCAGCAACUUCUGCACGCACUUCUUGGGAGGAACAGGUGUAAGCCCUUGACCACAUUUGCAAAAGUCAAGUUCCUAUGUUACAGGCAAGAGGAGCUUCCUCUCCACAGUUUUCUUCUGGGGAAGUAUCUGUAACGAGGAGUGAGGCGACUGUGAGGCCAAAAGAACGGACGAAACUGAAAACGACGGUUGCACUUCCGAGGAAGGAAAGAUGUGGAUACACCUAUGACCUCAUUAUAACUUGUUCAGCUAUGUAUUUACAAAGUUUCCCGAAGAGUGGUUCACUUUCUGGAAAGAAGAUGUCAGUCACUCCACAGGCCUCCACUUGGAGAACAUUUUCCUGGGCAUUGCAGAAAGAACAAAACAGAACACAGUCCCUGGCUUCCAAGGGCUAACAAUCUAUCGGGGGAGACCAUGCAAGCUGAGGACCAAACUGAGGAAGAAUGCAAAUACUCACAAACUAGAAAAUGGCAGAUUCCACAGGCCUGAUGAGGAUCCUAGGCAAAAUUCUAGGACAGAUGAUUAAACGGACAAUUUGUCAGCAGUUUGGAAAGGAAGCAGGGAUCAUGGAGAACAAGGCAUUACCCACUGACUGGGCAGCUCUCUGUUGGUCAUGUAUCAUGUGCCACACACUGGUCUAGGUGCUGGGACUAAAACUUAGGGUUCUGCUCUCAUGGAGCUUAUGGUCGUGCAAGGACAUUAAAUACUAAGAAUAACAAUAAAGGGUCUUGAGUGUCAAGAGAGAGGAGUACUGGAGGCAGAGAAAUCUGUAAUUUUAUGUCACUGGGUGAGGUAUUACAUAUACUGAUGAGGGACUGAAGCAGAAAAAUGUUCACCUUUAGCCCAGAAGGCUGACCGACAGCCUGCAUUGUUCCGAUAAGGAUCAAAUACGUGCCCUUUGCUACAGUCUUAAAGGGUCUCAUGACUGCUUGUAAAUCUCACUGAUAGUUAAUAUCAAGCUGAAGGAUAAGCACCAGAGAAAUCUUGUGAAAGUAGUUUUACGUGUAGAAAUUUGAAGAAGACGUUUAUGAUCUAAUACUCCCUGCACGUCCCCUCCCCCUUGAGCACUAAGCAGCAGAAAGUGUAGCACUUUCGGCCCAUGGGUCCUAUCCCCGUGCUGUAAUAAAAGUACCUUUCUGGCUCUUUCCAUAAUUUGGCUAUUGUUGAAAGCGAUGAGAAAGAAUAAAAUCCUGCUAUUUGCAGCAACGUGGAUGGAACUGGAGGGUAUUAUGCUAAGUGAAAUAAGUCAGUCAGAAAA
Molecule: long non-coding RNA, 2022 nt
Organism: Felis catus (domestic cat)
Lineage: Eukaryota; Metazoa; Chordata; Mammalia; Carnivora; Felidae
Exons: 5
Source: RefSeq, a predicted model, not a curated record